This 676-nucleotide ribosomal RNA is filed under the name uncultured bacterium. Its description in RNAcentral is "bacterial SSU rRNA". It matches the Rfam family "Bacterial small subunit ribosomal RNA", at positions 26 to 692 of the family's 1533-position model. The record is from RNAcentral.
CAAUCAACGCUGGCGGCAUGCCUUACACAUGCAAGUCGAACGGCAGCGCGGACUUCGGUCUGGCGGCGAGUGGCGAACGGGUGAGUAAUACAUCGGAACAUGUCCAGUAGUGGGGGAUAGCCCGGCGAAAGCCGGAUUAAUACCGCAUACGAUCCAUGGAUGAAAGCGGGGGACCUUCGGGCCUCGCGCUAUUGGGGUGGCCGAUGGCGGAUUAGGUAGUUGGUGGGGUAAAGGCCUACCAAGCCGACGAUCCGUAGCUGGUCUGAGAGGACGACCAGCCACACUGGGACUGAGACACGGCCCAGACUCCUACGGGAGGCAGCAGUGGGGAAUUUUGGACAAUGGGGGCAACCCUGAUCCAGCAAUGCCGCGUGUGUGAAGAAGGCCUUCGGGUUGUAAAGCACUUUUGUCCGGAAAGAAAACCUCCGCUCUAAUACAGUGGGGGGAUGACGGUACCGGAAGAAUAAGCACCGGCUAACUACGUGCCAGCAGCCGCGGUAAUACGUAGGGUGCGAGCGUUAAUCGGAAUUACUGGGCGUAAAGCGUGCGCAGGCGGUGAUGCAAGACCGAUGUGAAAUCCCCCGGGCUCAACCCUGGGAACUGCAUUGGUGACUGCAUCGCUUGGAGUUAUGGCAAAGGGGGGUAAAAAUUCCCCGUGUAACAAUUGAAAUUGCUU